UACGGAGGGUGCGAGCGUUGUCCGGAAUCACUGGGCGUAAAGGGCGCGUAGGUGGCCUGUGGAAGUCUGCGGUGAAAGCCCGGCGCUCAACGCCGGGUCGGCCGUGGAUACUCUCGGGCUCGAGCUUACUAGAGGCAGAUGGAAUUCCGGGGUGUAGCGGUGGAAUGCGUAGAGAUCCGGAAGAACACCGGUGGCGAAGGCGGUCUGCUGGGGUAAUGCUGGACACUGAUGCGCGACAGCGUGGGGGAGCAAACAGG
Molecule: ribosomal RNA, 257 nt
Filed under: uncultured bacterium
Lineage: Bacteria
Description: partial 16S ribosomal RNA
Rfam family: Bacterial small subunit ribosomal RNA
Source: RNAcentral